Long non-coding RNA from Dreissena polymorpha, 150 nucleotides. RefSeq lists it as uncharacterized. The transcript is spliced from 3 exons. The record is from RefSeq and is a predicted model, not a curated record. Lineage: Eukaryota; Metazoa; Mollusca; Bivalvia; Myida; Dreissenidae.
CUCCAAACCAGUCAAUGUGCAGGUAUGUGCUCAACCAUGUCAUCUCCAACCAGACACUCUCCAAACCAGUCAAUGUGCAGGUAUGUGCUCAACCAUGUCAUCUCCAACCAGACACUCUCCAAACCAGUCAAUGUGCAGGUAUGUGCUCAA